This is a non-coding RNA of Cinara cedri, 252 nucleotides long. NCBI's taxonomy places the organism in Eukaryota, Metazoa, Arthropoda, Insecta, Hemiptera, Aphididae. The record is from the annotation of a GenBank genome assembly.
UAAGCCAUGAUUUGACAACGAUGUUCAAAAAAAGAGAACCCAAGACAGAAAAGAGUCACAAAUACUAAUCUGCUUUAAAUUAGUAAAUGAAAUUGUAUGAUUAAUUUUAUCGAGGGUCUUAGCGAAAUCGGUGUAUAUUAUGCUUGACCAAAAUAAUUUUGUCCACAUAAAAUCAAAUAAGAACUGAAAUUUUUGAAGUAUUACAUUAGUAAAAAAAAGACUAUUACCCAUUGGUGCAACUAGAGGACAAAU